GCCCGCUUGGCUAAGUGGUAUAGCGUGUCACUCGUAUCUCUCUCUGACAUGACAAGGUCCUCGGUUCAAUUCCGAGAGUGGGCA
RNAcentral lists this transfer RNA (84 nucleotides) under Coniochaeta sp. 2T2.1. It matches the Rfam family "tRNA". Rfam says of the family: Transfer RNA (tRNA) molecules are approximately 80 nucleotides in length. Their secondary structure includes four short double-helical elements and three loops (D, anti-codon, and T loops). The record is from Rfam by way of RNAcentral. Lineage: Eukaryota; Fungi; Ascomycota; Sordariomycetes; Coniochaetales; Coniochaetaceae.